This 1600-nucleotide long non-coding RNA is filed under the name Homo sapiens (human). Its description in RNAcentral is "novel transcript". Lineage: Eukaryota; Metazoa; Chordata; Mammalia; Primates; Hominidae. The record is from RNAcentral.
GACUUCGCAGGAGACCGCCACUCACGCGGAGCCAAUCGGAACUCGCGGCGGGGUUGCUGGGUCUUCCAGGAUCGCGCAUUAGCGGACGCUGGCUACGGGUGGCCGGGCGGGAUGUAACCGGCUGCUGAGCUGGCAGUUCUGUGUCCCCAGGCUUCGGCCCGGCCGCCGCCGCACAUAAACUGCGAGGAGGAGCUUUACGACUUCUCGGUCUUCGGGGCCGGGCGCAGCAAGGGCCAGACUCUGCGCUAGCAGGCGCUGCGCGCCAACCGGCCGGCCCCUGUCGCAGAAGGUGCAACCGAUCGCACUGUCGCGCAGAAGCUCCUCAAUGGCCAGCGCCAGCUGCAGCCCCGGCUGCCCACUCGCCUCACCUGAGCCUGGGUGGAACAAUCCAAAGUUUUAAUCAAAGAAGGUGGUAUUCAGUUGCUGCUUACAAUAGUUGAUACCCCAGGAUUUGGAGAUGCAGUGGAUAAUAGUAAUUGCUGGCAGCCUGUUAUCAAUUACAUUGAUAGUAAAUUUGAGGACUACCUAAAUGCAGAAUCGCAAGUGAACAGAUGUCAGAUGCCUGGUAACAGGGUGCACUGUUGUUUAUACUUCAUUGCUCCUUCAGGACAUGGACCGUUACAUAACUGAAGACUCCCACCUUCAGGCAGGAUUGGGUAGUACAUGUUUGUAACUACCUGGCAUUGCCUUUUGUUGAGACUUAAACCAUUGGAUAUUGAGUUUACAAAGCAUUUGCAUGAAAAAGUGAAUAUCAUCCCACUUAUUGCCAAAGCAGACACACUCAUGCCAGAGGAAUGCCAACAGUUUAAAAAACAGAUAAAGAAAUCCAAGAACAUAAAGUUAAAAUAUAUGAAUUUCCAGAAACAGAUGAUGAAGAAGAAAAAAAACUUGUUAAAAAGAUAAAGGACCAUUUACCUCUUGCUGUGGUGGGUAGUAAUACUAUCAUUGAAGUUAAUGGCAAAAGGGUCAUAGGAAGGCAGUAUCCUUGGAGUGUUGCUGAAGUUGAAAAUGGUGAACAUUGUGAUUUUACAGUUUUAAGAAAUAUGUUGAUAAGAACACACGCAGGACUUGAAAGAUGUUACUAAUAAUGUCCACUACGAGAACUAUGGAAUCAGAAAACUGGCAGCUGUGACUUAUCAUGGAGUUGAUAACAAGAAGAAUAAAGGGCAGCUCACUAAUAGAGACGGUAUUUCACCAUGUUAGCCAGGAUGGUCUUGAUCUCCUGACCUCGUGAUCCACCCGCCUCGGCCUCCCAAAGUGCUGGGAUUACAGGCAUGAGCCACCACGCCCGGCCAAGUGGAAUGAAUUUUCAAGAGCAUUGAAGUUACCAUAAGGGGCCUAGAAAUACUCUGUAUACCUAUAUAGUGCUCUAGGUAUUGACUAGUAGUGAUUUCCAGCAUAUCAGUUCAGUUACCAAAAUAAAUAAUAAUAUUGUUCAUUUUUGUGGUGUUAGUAGCUGUCUUAGAAGAGAUUGUAACACUUGAAAUUUUGGUAAAACUAAAAAUACUCUACAUACAUUAACUUCAUUACUCAUUUUCUGUUUUUCAUGUUAAAAUGUUGUUUAAAGAACAAAAUUAAAUGAUUUUCUUCUGAUAUUUUA